UUUUAACCCAUUUAACAAUACUGAUUAUACUGUGGGGACGAAAGUCUCUGCUUUUAACUAGAUAGCAACUUUCAGCAGUGGAUGUCUAGGCUCGCACAUCGAUGAAGAACGCUGCGAACUGCGAUACGUAAUGCGAAUUGCAGGAUUCAGUGAGUCAUCGAAAUUUUGAACGCAUAUUGCACUUCCGGGUUAGUCCUGGGAGUAUGCCUGUAUCAGUGUCCGUACAUCAAACUUGGCUUUCUUCCUUCCGUGUAGUCGGUGGAGGAUGUGCCAGAUGUGAAGUGUCUUGCGGUUUGUGUGCCUUCGGGCCGAGGCUGCGAGUCCUUUGAAAUGUACUGAACUGUACUUCUCUUUGCUCGAAAAGCGUGGUGUUGCUGGUUGUGGAGGCUGCCUGCGUGGCCAGUCGGCGACCGGUUUGUCUGCUGCGGCGUUUAAUGGAGGAGUGUUCGAUUCGCGGUAUGGUUGGCUUCGGCUGAACAGACGCUUAUUGUAUGCUUUUCCUGCUGUGGCGUGAUGGGCUGGUGAACCGUAGCUGUGUGUGGCUUGGCUUUUGAAUCGGCUUUGCUGUUGCGAAGUAGAGUGGCGGCUUCGGCUGUCGAGUGUCGAUCCAUUUUGGGAACUUUUGUGUGCGCUUUCGAGUGUGCAUCUCAAUGGACCUGA
This 660-nucleotide ribosomal RNA is filed under the name Phytophthora meadii. RNAcentral describes it as "eukaryotic LSU rRNA". The stretch from base 67 to 221 matches the Rfam family "5.8S ribosomal RNA". The record is from RNAcentral. Lineage: Eukaryota; Oomycota; Peronosporomycetes; Peronosporales; Peronosporaceae.